RNAcentral lists this non-coding RNA (49 nucleotides) under Schistosoma curassoni. The record is from RNAcentral. Lineage: Eukaryota; Metazoa; Platyhelminthes; Trematoda; Strigeidida; Schistosomatidae.
AUCCAGCUGACGAGUCCCAAAUAGAAUGAAACGCUCGUUUAAACUGUAU